GGGCCCGCACAAGCGGUGGAGUAUGUGGUUUAAUUCGAUGCAACGCGAAGAACCUUACCAGGGUUUGACAUCCUGCGAAUCUCUUGGAAACAGGAGAGUGCCUUCGGGAACGCAGUGACAGGUGGUGCAUGGCUGUCGUCAGCUCGUGUCGUGAGAUGUUGGGUUAAGUCCCGCAACGAGCGCAACCCACGUCUUUAGUUGCCAGCAUUUAGUUGGGCACUCUAGAGAGACUGCCGGUGAUAAACCGGAGGAAGGUGUGGAUGACGUCAAGUCAUCAUGCCCCUUACAUCCUGGGCUACACACGUACUACAAUGCUACGGACAAAGGGCAGCAAACUCGCGAGAGCUAGCAAA
RNAcentral lists this ribosomal RNA (353 nucleotides) under uncultured bacterium. Its description in RNAcentral is "bacterial SSU rRNA". It matches the Rfam family "Bacterial small subunit ribosomal RNA", at positions 917 to 1271 of the family's 1533-position model. The record is from RNAcentral.